This is an RNA transcript of Peromyscus leucopus (white-footed mouse), 7197 nucleotides long. It is a transcript of the gene named zinc finger and SCAN domain containing 30, with no coding region annotated. The record is from RefSeq and is a predicted model, not a curated record. The transcript has 4 exons. NCBI's taxonomy places the organism in Eukaryota, Metazoa, Chordata, Mammalia, Rodentia, Cricetidae.
UAACCCUCCCCACCCAGGAAAGUGGUUUUUUUUUUUUUUCUUUUCUUUUUGACAAAAAGUGAAGUGCUUGGAGGGAAAUGCAGUUCCCUUUAACCUCGGCUCUUACAACCCCUUGACUGAGAGUUCUCAGCACUGACAUGUCUCAGCAUCCUUGGUGGACUGUGUCACAGAUGGAGUUAUUGGGAUCUGAUUUAGGGGCAUCUGACUAAGCUAGAAGUCAUCCCACUCACAUACCGAGUGAGUGGGAUGAGUACAUUAAAAGAGGGCUUCCUGAGAGGUUUUUGUGUUAAAAAUCCGAGCCAGAGGCACAUGGAGGGAACAGAUGUAGCAUUCUUACUAAUUGUAGAUCCAGCUGACAGCCAGAAUUGAUGGCUAACUAGUGAGUGAUGCAUUGUGGAAACCCGGUCUGGCCCAUAACAUUUUUUUUUUAAAGAUUCAUUUAUUUUUUAUUCAUGUACAUGUUCUGUGUACUAAGUGUUUGCAGAGCCCUUGGAAGCCAAAAGUGGGCAUUGGAUCUUCUGGAACUGAAGUUACAGUCUGCUGCCAGCUGGAUCUACUAGUAGGUACUGGACUUGAUUCCAGAUCCUUUGGAGGAGCAGCCAGUGCUCUUAACCCCUAAGCCAUUGGUCCUGUCUCCCAAGAACAGUCUUGAUAGCACAUUACAAUCAUAUUAAGUAUCAAAAGUCAAAAAUAAUAGCUGACCCUGAUCAGUAAACACCGCUGUGAGCAAAAGUUGGUCAGAGGAAUAGAAUCAUCUUUUCGAUUUGUGAAGACCACACUGAUUACAAUGUGGGUAACAGACUGGUGGGGACUGAGGGAGUUGGGCAAACCAGGUGGUAAGGUGUGUGGUUUGACACACAGAAUAGUCAAAUCCGGUGAUGGCUGGAUUUGGAAGGGCAGACUCUAGAGGGAGGGAAUAAGCCAGUAGGGCUUAAUGUGAAGGAAGGGGUUAGAGAGGACUGUUAGAGAUGUGUUGGUUACUGGCCACAGAGCCAGAUGGAUAUUCCUGUCUACUGAAGACAGCCCCCGUUCACUCCCCGCAAGGCACAGUUUUUCUGCCUAGCCCUGGCUGUCCUGGAACUCUUUCUGUAGACCAGGCUGGCCUUGAACUCACAGAGAUUUGCCUGCCUCUGCCUCCUGUACUGGGAUUAAAGGCUUGCACCACCACCUCCCAGCCUGAAUAUAGGUUUAAGCUGGCAAGAAUCAUGAAUUGGUUACCUCGUGAUCUUAUGAGAUAUUCCAUGAGAUAUAAUAUUAUGAUUUAUGCUGUAUCUAAAGUCCUCUUGAGAGUUUCAAGAGAAUUCAUGAUGAGAAUGAGCAACUAUAGGCAGCCAGGUCUAGAGAUCAGGUGAUGGAUAGUAGCAGAAAGUGGGGGUGUGGAAGUCUUGAGGGAUGUGGAGAGGGCCAGUAAAAGGAAGUGCUAGGACUGAUUUUAUGGGCGGCACUGGAAAGGAACUGGAGGAGCAGAAUCAAUGCUUUAUGAUUAUAAAUAAAUUCCCUCAGCCACACAAGCCUGAAAGAUAAGUUGUUCGGGCACAGUAUUUAUAAUAAAAUUGAGUGAGGGCUGAUGAGGUGGCUCAGGGCUUAUAUUGCUCUUGCAGAGGACCUGAGUUCACUUUCUAGCAUUUAUGUUGUCUGGCUCACAACUGCCUGUAAUUCCAGCUCCAGGGAAUCAAAUAUCCUUUCCUAGCCUCUGUGGGCACUGCGUGCAUGAGUGCAAACCCAUACAUAGAUGCACAUCCAUAUAUAUAAUUAAAAAUAGAUCAUACAUAGACACACACAUAUAAUUAAAAAUAGAUCAUGAAAAAGAAAUUUUAAAAAUUGAGUAAUAUCAUGACACUGGAAUUGAAAAGCUAGAGAUGUAACAGACCGAUGAUCACUAAGUGAAGAACACACAUCCGUGUGCAGCCCUGGCACAUGCUGUGACAUGCCAUGAACGGAUGUGAUGGCAUGGCACAUAUCAUGUUUCCCUCUUUGUUUACAUUUUAGUUUAUUUUGGGGGUGUGUGUAUAGGUGAGAGGAAAACAUCCAAGGAUUCUCCUUUACUCUCUGUUCCAGGUCAUCAGGCUUGGUGGCAAGUGUCUACUGUGCCAUCUUGUCCUUCCAUUCCGCACCCCUCCCCCACAGGUAUCACUAUGUAGCCCUGAAACUUCUUAAAUCCUGACUGAUUUAGUAAGAACAAAAGUAAUUAUUUAGUAUUUCUCUCAUACUAAAAUUGAAGAGUUUGGGAGGUGUUUAAGAGGCAUGGAUGGCUGUUUCGUUCUGUUCGGUUUUCUCUUACUAUCAUCCAUUAGUGUUCCAGGGUCUGGCAUAGACUCUUAAGCCUGGGUGCAUAGAAAUACCUGGGACAUUUACUAAAGCCAUAUUCCUGGAGAUUCUGACUGAAUCUGUCAUAGGGUCCAUCCUCCAUGGCUAAGUGAGCGAUAAGUGAAGGUGACAGCCAUUAGUUUGCUGUCCCUAAACCACCAUCGGCUUCUUCAGUGGGCCAUGUCCUCUCACAGCCAUUGUGUCAUUCAGAUCAGGUUCCUGAGAUUUCUCCUACAGGCAGCUCUCCCUGCCUCUUCCGGUCCCUCUCUCUCUGGUCUUAGUCAGUGGUCUUUUUCUUGUGUUUACCUUCCUUUGAUUUAUCAUGCUUUUUGCCUGUUUUUUCCCCCCACAUUGAACUAAGAGACCCUGGGAAGAGAACUUUUAAUGUGAGACUUCUGCUUAGCAGUCUGUAUAGCACACAGUCAAUUUUUAAGUAUUUGUGAAAUAAUGAAAGAAGGGAAGCCAUGACUCUUUUUUAUGCUGUGACUUACAGUCAGUCAAAUGAUCUCUCCAAACAUUUUGCCAUUACUAAUUGGCAAGAAUAACCAAGACUGGUCUGGGCAGUCAGUUCUGGAAUAAAAACAGCCAGUGACUGAGCAUCAGGUAAUCCUAGGUUCACAUUCUGACAAGUUUGGGGACUUGGGCAAAUUCAAGAUGCUUGACUUCUUCAUCUGUAAAACAUGGGGCUGACAUUUCCUGCACAAUGGUAUCACUGAGACUCAAUAAAAUAGCUCUUGUAAGCUGGCUAGCCCAUAGCAAGUGUUACAUUUUGAGUUCCUGUCUUUGGGAGACUCCAUGGCAUGACAGAGCUAAAUACUUGCAGAGUCCAGCUCUGCUGUUUAUUAGCUGUGUGCCUUUGGGCAUAUUAUGAUGCUCAGAAGCCUCGUUUGGAGCAUGGACAAAAACACAAUUGUCCUUAUGGGGCACUAUUUUAUCAUCCCUAAUGCUAUCCCUAACGUCAUUACUAAAGGUGGCAUGAUUUUAGCUAUACUAAAAUUUUGUCGCAUGUUCUGAAAACAAUCUUGAAUUAUCUAUGGAUUAUCAUUUGUAUGGCAGUUCCCUUUUAGUUUGUUUUCUACACAGGCACUGUAAGCAGUGAGCUGAGUUCCGUAGUUCUGCAGGUCAGUCCCCCAGCCCCCAGUGGUAUACACCCAGGUGGCCAUCCUUCAUAAACGUGUAUAUACAUUCUGAACACAUGCUUUCCCUGUGUAACCCGAGCACUGUCCACCUCAGGGGCUCUUUGGAUCCACCUCCUCUCUGCCUCAGCUAGGUAGUCUUUUCAGAUUGUCUUGCCCAGGAUGUUCAGAGAGGCCACAGCCUUGGCCUGUCAUGCUCCAAAAGGACAAAAUGGACUCAGCGUUGUGAAAGCUGAAGAAGAAAAUGUCUGGCGGCGGCGGCGGCGGGACUUCAGUCUUCAGGGAAAGCUGCAGAGUCAGGAGGUUUUCCGCCAGCAGUUUAGACAGUUUGGCUACUCUGACUUCGCUGGGCCCCGGGAGGCCCUGGACCACCUGCAGAAGCUUUGCCAGCAGUGGCUGAGGCCAGAGGAGCACUCCAAGGAGCAGAUCCUGGAGCUGCUGGUGCUGGAGCAGUUUGUGGCCAUCCUGCCUGUGGAGCUGCAGGCCUGGGUGCAGGAGCACAGACCUGGAAACGGAGAGGAGGCUGUUACUCUGCUGGAGGAGCUGGAGAGAGAAUUUGAUGAACCUAAACAACAGGACACAGCUCAUGGCCAUGAGAUGAUCUGCAGAGAAAUGACACUCAUGGGAACACAGAAGUCUCCAAGUAGCCCACUGCAGUCCCUGGAGAACCACUGCAGGAGUGAAGCCCAGGAGCCCCAGGGUUUCCAGGAGCGAGAUGAGGCAACCCUACUAUUUAGGGUUGAGGAAGGAGAUAGCAAGAUGGUGGCUGACAAAGUAUUGACAGCAAAGCAAGAAAUUGUUGAAUGUGUUCCAGCAGUGGCCGUGGCAUCUCCAGGAAGACUUCCUAGGGCAGCUUCUCCAGUACAGACAGCUGAACAAACUCUGCAGUAUCUGGACACCAAUGAGAAGCAAAGAGGAAGUGAUACAAGCAACAAAAUGAGUCCACUUUCUUCCCAGGAAAGCUAUCUCAGUCUGGCAGCCUUUACCAAGAAACCCUCCACAGAACAGAGCACCUUCGAGUGUAAUGAAGGGGAAGGACUUCUCAGUCUAAACUUACAUGGUACUACACAGCCCAGAACGACCACAGGGAAACUGCUCUAUGAGUGCUUGGAUUGUGGGAAAGCUUUCUGCCAUAGGUCAAAGCUGAUUAGACAUCAAAGAAGUCAUACUGGAGAGAGACCUUAUGCAUGUAAAGAAUGUGGAAAAGCCUUUGGUUUCAGAACAGAUCUUGUCAGACAUCAGAGAAUUCACAGUGGUGAAAAACCCUACAAAUGUUCUGACUGUGGAAAAGCUUUCAGGGGCAGCUCAGGGCUUAUUAGGCACAGGAGAAUUCAUACUGGAGAGAAACCUUAUGGUUGUGAUGAAUGUGGGAAAGCCUUCAGCCAGAGCUCUACUCUUAUUCAGCAUAAGAAGAUUCACAGUGGAGACAAAGGCUAUGAAUGUACUGAAUGUGGUAAGGCUUUUAGGAGAAGUUCUGUUCUUAUGGAACAUCAAAGAAUCCAUACUGGUGAGAAACCUUAUGAAUGUAAUGAAUGUGAAAAAUCCUUUAAUCAAAGCUCAGCACUCACCCAGCACCAGAGAACCCACUCUGGGGAAAAACCUUAUGGAUGUUAUGAAUGUAAGAAAAUAUUUAGGCACAGGUCAGGCCUUAUGCAGCAUCAGAGAACACACACCAGAGUUCAACUCUGUGGGUAAGAGUUGUGUAAUUGUGAAAGGCAGGGAAUUCACUUUGAAGGUUAGACUCCACAAAAAAAUAGAAGUUUCCUGACUGUAGGACUUGUGUCUCUCCAGCCUAGUUCAGUUCUGUAAAAAAAUCCACACAAAAAUGCUUCUAUAUCUAGAUCUUGUCAAUGAAGAAUGGUGAAAAGACUGACCCAUUUCUGAAUGAGGACUCUCACCAAUCUGCUCUUCAUCCCAUUCUUCACUACAGAUGAGCUGUCUUUGAGCACCUUCAUGUAAGUCCAUGACUGAGACACAGAUCCUGCAAGAUCUCUUUGUAAGGUGGCAAAGAUCACUGUUCAGCAAAGUGUUUGUGUCUGAUGGGAGUAGGCAUGUUUUAAGAGUUACUGAACUCUGAAAUGUUGAAUUGAGGCUAUGAAAUGUCAUGUCCUGAAUCAGUUUAAUAUCUGAGGGAUGGAAGCUCUUUCUGCCUGCCCCCUUGCCAGUUCUUUCCACCCGGAGUUUCCUGUUGCAGUCUGCACCCUUAUUUGGUACCUCCUGGGCUUAACCACUGGAAGAACAGACUUGGUCACUGCACUCUCAAAAUAAAGGGCUCAUGGAUAUACAGAUUUAUUGGACAAGUUAUUACGGUGGGAGUAUGGCAAUAACUGCCAGAUAAAUCAGUGUUCUGUUGGAAGACAUUUCAGAGAUGCUUUACCUGAUCUACGAGGUAACUAAAGAUUUCCUGGGUGUGAUAUGUCAUUGGAGACCUAAGAUACAGAAGUUGCCUGGCUAUUGGCAGAACAGAAGCAGAGUUUUUCAUACGUACAUGGCAUGAUGAGAAGAGAGGGUCUGGAGACAUUCCUGUUGCUUGACUUCAAUUCCUGCUCAAGUUUUCUUUGACCCCAGUUCAGAAGCCAGUUGCAGGCUGUGGAAAUGAGGGAGAAAGACAGGUAUGAAGCUGAUUUAAGACCCAUGUGAGGCAAGCACUGCUUCAGACUGCCACUGGAGCAAGAGGAAGAAAAGCACAGAGCAGAGAGAAGGACAUUAGUUAUUUCCUCUCUGAAAAGGCUGUUGAAACUGACCAUAAGAUCAUCUUUAGCUCCUUUAACAUGAGCCUAUAGCUGUGAGCUAACAACUUGUUUAUGCCUGUUGAAUUCAUGGAAAAGCACUCAUGACGGAAGUUCUCAGCCACAAAUCUUCAUGCAGCCAACUUGCACAGGAAUUUAGAAUCUGAAGGGGAUUCUUCUAAUACUAUAAAGUAGGUAUGUCUGCAUUGAUUUCAUCAACAAUGAAAGACCAGAGUUAAGUUAGUUAAGACUUGGGAAAGGGAUGUCCUAGAAGGCAAGGGCUUAUUUUCACACCUAUUUUGGGCCUUUGUUUACUACCUGCUCUGCCUAGGGCUGGGGAAUCUAGGGAUUAAGCUUGAGGCCUUAAACAUGGUAAACUUAUGCUUUACAACUGAACUGUAUUCUCUUGCCCCUUCCUCUACAAACAGUAUUAGAUUUUGCAGUAAAACUUGAACUAUAAAAACAACACACUACCUGUAACUUCAUCACCCAGGAGUAACCAGUAUAACAUCUUGACAUAUAUUUCCAUUAUUUUUAAUGCAUAAUGUUUUACACGGAUCAUGUUGUAUAUAUUGUGUAUUUAAUAUAUCAUGAAUGUUUAACAUGUUUUAACAGCUUGUAAGGAUGCACAUUCAGGGGUUCUUAAGUGUAUUUCUGGGUAGAAUGUCAAAUUCCAAAGCAGUGCUUAAGGCUUCUGGCCAGAGAUAUGUAUUCACAGACCAUUAGCAGCAAGAGAGUCCUAAUUUGCUCGAAUCCUUGUUAAUUUUACAUGGAAAACAAAUACCACCUUCACCCCUAUUCCAAUAUGACUAUAACUUGUAAGACUGGACAUAUAUGUAUUGUUCACAGACACAUCUGUGAUUUAAAUGUUAAUGGGACUUUUUCAUGGAUAGUAGUAAAGUGCUUCCAGAAUAGAGUUCUGAGUUAAAAUUCUGACCUUUUAGCUAUGAUAGCCUCCAUUUCCUAUGUGUAAAAUAUGAUUUGUACUAAUGACUAACACAUACAUAAAGCCCUUGGCAAAUAAC